This 452-nucleotide ribosomal RNA is filed under the name uncultured Anaerolineaceae bacterium. RNAcentral describes it as "bacterial SSU rRNA". It matches the Rfam family "Bacterial small subunit ribosomal RNA", at positions 919 to 1382 of the family's 1533-position model. Lineage: Bacteria; Bacillati; Chloroflexota; Anaerolineae; Anaerolineales; Anaerolineaceae. The record is from RNAcentral.
CCCCGCACAAGCAGCGGAGCGUGUUGGUUAAUUCGAGGCUACACGAAGAACCUUACCAGGGUUUGACAUGUCACGUGGUAGGAAUCCGAAAGGUGACCGACCCUUCGGGGAGCGUGCACAGGUGUUGCAUGGCUGUCGUCAGCUCGUGCCGUGAAGUGUUAGGUUAAGUCCUGUAACGAGCGCAACCCCUGCCGUUAGUUACAUGUGUCUAACGGGACUGCCCGGCUCAACUGGGAGGAAGGUGGGGACGACGUCAAGUCAGCAUGGCCUUUAUAUCCUGGGCUACACACACGCUACAAUGGUCGGUACAAUGGGUCGCCAAGCCGCGAGGCGGAGCCAAUCCUCCAAAACCGGCCUCAGUUCAGAUUGUAGGCUGCAACUCGCCUGCAUGAAGUUGGAGUUGCUAGUAACCGCGCGUCAGCUAUAGUGCGGUGAAUACGUUCCCGGGGCUU